Molecule: ribosomal RNA, 795 nt
Filed under: Triticum aestivum (bread wheat)
Lineage: Eukaryota; Viridiplantae; Streptophyta; Magnoliopsida; Poales; Poaceae
Description: partial small subunit ribosomal RNA
Source: RNAcentral
AUGGUAUGUUUUACUUGUGGAGGGCCUGGCCAUUAUGUUGGUAAUUGCAUCCAGAAGAAAAUCUGCUUCAUCUGUGGAUUGGAGGGUCACAACGUCAACAACUAUGCGGCUUGGGCGCAACCUCAUCCAGUUGCCACUUUCUUUGGAAGCUCUGCCCUGGGAUUAGGGUUCUACCAAAUUGAUGCUCCUGUGGGUCGUGAAGCAAAUUGGCUUAACUUCAGAAACUAUGGAGAAGUUUGGGUCAUGAAAGGAGAGAUUAGCAAGUCGGAUCUGAUUAAUAACCUAUCAGGGAUUUUCAGCAAAAACAAACAGUGGACAUGGCAAGUCAGGCCUCUGACAGACAAGAAGUUCUUGGUCAGAUUCCCACCCUGGAAAGAUGUAGAAGAGUUGAUUGAGUUUCUAGCUUUUGAUUUACCUAUCGAUGGAGUGUCUGUGAUAGUUGAGAAGUGGACAAGUGCGAUUGAUCCUUUCAACGAGUUAACUGAAGCCUGGGUUGUCAUUGAGGGGCUCUCGUCCAAGUGGUGUACAUGGAAAGUGCUGUCACAGAUUGCUUCCUGCUUUGGAAUCCUCGUGGAUAUUGACUGGAAUGGUCUAAUGAAGAGUUUUUAUGAAAAAGUGAGGAUCAAGAUUGCUUGCAGGAACCCAGCGAAAAUCCCCUUUGAGAGAAUUAUGGAAAUGAGGAAAAAGCUGUAUAUCCUGUCAUUUACAGUGGAAGGCUUUGAGCAGAUAGGUGCUGGUGAUCCUAAUGAUGACAAUGGCCCUACUUACAUAUCCGUGGAUGAUGAUAAUAAGUAA